CCUACGGGAGGCAGCAGUGGGGAAUUUUGCGCAAUGCUCGUAAGAGUGACGCAGCGACGCCGCGUGAAUGACGAAGGCCUUCGGGUCGUAAAGCUCUUUCGACAGGGAAGAAAAUGCCUAUAAGUAACUGUGUAUGUAUUGACGGUACCUGUAUAAGCAGCCUAGGCUAACUCCGUGCCAGCAGCCGCGGUAAUACGGAGGGGGCGAGCGUUGUUCGGAGUGACUGGGCGUAAAGAGCACGUAGGCGGUGUUGUAAGUCAUUAGUCAAAGACUAGAGCUCAACUUUAGUAAGGCUAGUGAUACUAUAAUACUAGAGUAUCAGAGAGGAUUGCAGAAUUCCUGGUGUAGCGGUGAAAUGCGUAGAUAUCAGGAAGAAUACCGUUAGCGAAGGCGGCAAUCUAGCUGGAAACUGACGCUGAGGUGCGAAAGCGUGGGUAGCAAACAGGAUUAGAUACCCUAGUAGUC
This 465-nucleotide ribosomal RNA is filed under the name uncultured bacterium. Its description in RNAcentral is "partial 16S ribosomal RNA". It matches the Rfam family "Bacterial small subunit ribosomal RNA", at positions 338 to 795 of the family's 1533-position model. The record is from RNAcentral.